Molecule: ribosomal RNA, 440 nt
Filed under: uncultured eukaryote
Lineage: Eukaryota
Description: bacterial SSU rRNA
Rfam family: Eukaryotic small subunit ribosomal RNA
Source: RNAcentral
CAAUAGCGUAUAUUAAAGUUGUUGCAGUUAAAAAGCUCGUAGCUGGAUCUGCCAGUCGUGGGCGCGUCGGUCUCCGCCGUGAGGUGGAGUUCACUGACCGUCCGCGUCGUUUACAUCGAUUGUCGUCUAGCGUGGCUUCCGAGCCGUGUCUGGUCGACUAGUUUACCUUGAGAAAAUUAGAGUGUUCAAAGCAGGAUCUGUUUAAUGUGUCCGCAUACAAUGAGCAUGGUAUAAGUGAAGAUGGCUUCGGUUCGCACUACGUUUGUUGGUUUAAAGUGCCGAAGCAAUGACUGAAAGGGGCAGUUGGGGACAUCCGUAUUUCGUAGUCAGAGGUGAAAUUCUUGGACCUACGAAAGACGCACUACAGCGAAAGCAUUUGUCAAGAAUGCUUUCUUCAGUCAAGAACGAAAGUUUGAGGAUCGAAGACGAUCAGAUACCAU